GGNGUUGCNUGGCUGUCGUCNGCUCGUGUCGUGAGAUGUUGGGUUAAGUCCCGCAACGAGCGCAACCCUCAUCCUUAGUUACCAUCAGGUAAUGCUGGGGACUUUAAGGAAACUGCCAGUGAUAAACUGGAGGAAGGUGGGGAUGAUGUCAAGUCAUCAUGGCCCUUAUGGAGUGGGCUACACACGUGCUACAAUGGUGGCUACAAUGGGCUGCAAAGUCGCGAGGCUAAGCCAAUCCCUUAAAAGCCAUCUCAGUUCGAAUUGUACUCUGCAACUCGAGUGCAUGAAGUUGGAAUCGCUAGUAAUCGUGGAUCAGCACGCCACGGUGAAUACGUUCUCGGGUCUUGUACACACUGCCCGUCACGCCAUGGGAAUUGGUU
Molecule: ribosomal RNA, 380 nt
Filed under: Wolbachia endosymbiont of Curculio elephas
Lineage: Bacteria; Pseudomonadati; Pseudomonadota; Alphaproteobacteria; Rickettsiales; Anaplasmataceae
Description: bacterial SSU rRNA
Rfam family: Bacterial small subunit ribosomal RNA
Source: RNAcentral